This 459-nucleotide ribosomal RNA is filed under the name uncultured organism. RNAcentral describes it as "partial 16S ribosomal RNA". It matches the Rfam family "Bacterial small subunit ribosomal RNA", at positions 333 to 800 of the family's 1533-position model. The record is from RNAcentral.
ACACUCCUACGGGAGGCAGCAGUGGGGAAUAUUGCACAAUGGGCGCAAGCCUGAUGCAGCGACGCCGCGUGGGGGAUGAAGGCCUUCGGGUUGUAAACUCCUUUCGCUAGGGACGAAGCUUUUUUGUGACGGUACCUAGAUAAGAAGCACCGGCUAACUACGUGCCAGCAGCCGCGGUAAUACGUAGGGUGCGAGCGUUGUCCGGAAUUACUGGGCGUAAAGGGCUCGUAGGUGGUUUGUCGCGUCGUCUGUGAAAUUCUGGGGCUUAACUCCGGGCGUGCAGGCGAUACGGGCAUAACUUGAGUGCUGUAGGGGUAACUGGAAUUCCUGGUGUAGCGGUGAAAUGCGCAGAUAUCAGGAGGAACACCGAUGGCGAAGGCAGGUUACUGGGCAGUUACUGACGCUGAGGAGCGAAAGCAUGGGUAGCGAACAGGAUUAGAUACCCGAGUAGUCCCAUGA